CUACGGGACGCAGCAGUGGGGAAUAUUGCGCAAUGGGCGAAAGCCUGACGCAGCAACGCCGCGUGGGUGAUGAAGGUCUUCGGAUUGUAAAACCCUGUCGUUAGGGACGAAGACUACCAGUCUAAUAUAUUGGUAGUUUGACGGUACCUAGAAAGGAAGCCCCGGCUAACUCUGUGCCAGCAGCCGCGGUAAUACAGAGGGGGCAAGCGUUAUUCGGAAUUAUUGGGCGUAAAGAGCGCGUAGGCGGUAUUUUAAGUGAGAUGUGUAAUCCCUGAGCUUAACUUGGGAACUGCAUCUCAUACUGGAAUGCUGGAGUACCGGAGAGGGUGGUAGAAUUCCACGUGUAGCGGUGAAAUGCGUAGAGAUGUGGAGGAAUACCGGUGGCGAAGGCGGCCACCUGGACGGUAACUGACGCUAAGGUGCGAAAGUGUGGGUAGCAAACAGGAUUAGAUACCCUUGUAGUC
This 464-nucleotide ribosomal RNA is filed under the name uncultured bacterium. RNAcentral describes it as "partial 16S ribosomal RNA". It matches the Rfam family "Bacterial small subunit ribosomal RNA", at positions 339 to 795 of the family's 1533-position model. The record is from RNAcentral.